GCCUAACACAUGCAAGUCGAACGGCAGCACAGGAGAGCUUGCUCUCUGGGUGGCGAGUGGCGGACGGGUGAGGAAUACAUCGGAAUCUACCUUUUCGUGGGGGAUAACGUAGGGAAACUUACGCUAAUACCGCAUACGACCUACGGGUGAAAGUGGGGGACCGCAAGGCCUCACGCGAUUAGAUGAGCCGAUGUCCGAUUAGCUAGUUGGCGGGGUAAUGGCCCACCAAGGCGACGAUCGGUAGCUGGUCUGAGAGGAUGAUCAGCCACACUGGAACUGAGACACGGUCCAGACUCCUACGGGAGGCAGCAGUGGGGAAUAUUGGACAAUGGGCGCAAGCCUGAUCCAGCCAUACCGCGUGGGUGAAGAAGGCCUUCGGGUUGUAAAGCCCUUUUGUUGGGAAAGAAAUCCCAUCGGUUAAUAACCGGUGGGGAUGACGGUACCCAAAGAAUAAGCACCGGCUAACUUCGUGCCAGCAGCCGCGGUAAUACGAAGGGUGCAAGCGUUACUCGGAAUUACUGGGCGUAAAGCGUGCGUAGGUGGUGGUUUAAGUCUGCUGUGAAAGCCCUGGGCUCAACCUGGGAAUUGCAGUGGAUACUGGAUCACUAGAGUGUGGUAGAGGGAUGCGGAAUUUCUGGUGUAGCAGUGAAAUGCGUAGAGAUCAGAAGGAACAUCCGUGG
RNAcentral lists this ribosomal RNA (680 nucleotides) under uncultured Gammaproteobacteria bacterium. RNAcentral's name for it is "bacterial SSU rRNA". It matches the Rfam family "Bacterial small subunit ribosomal RNA", at positions 46 to 715 of the family's 1533-position model. Lineage: Bacteria; Pseudomonadati; Pseudomonadota; Gammaproteobacteria. The record is from RNAcentral.